Long non-coding RNA from Nothobranchius furzeri (turquoise killifish), 1745 nucleotides. The record is from Ensembl. Lineage: Eukaryota; Metazoa; Chordata; Actinopteri; Cyprinodontiformes; Nothobranchiidae.
AUGGAAGUUGUGAAAACAGAAAAGGUCAAAGUUUCAAAUGCUGUUUUAAUCAGUGGGUUAACUGAUACAGACCUUGAUAACGAAGUCUUUGGGUUUAUGGAAGGAUUCGGACCAGUUAACAGGCGCAUUAAGUUACCAAACUGUGAUCAGAUUAUUGUGGAGUUUCAACAUGAAGCCACUGUUAAGGAAUUAAAGAAACAAUGUUUACCCUAUGACAAACCUUGUACUAGGAACCCAGAUGUUUUCUUUCAUAUUCAAGACCUAGCCAGCGCGUACAGUCUAGAAACUAGCACAUCUGCCACUGAUGCCUAUCUGUCAGAGCUCAGGGACAUAGCUGCGCGUAGCAAUCAAAAACUGCUAUUUUUAGCAUAUUUUUAGGGCCGACGUGUUGCUACCAGACGUACAGUGUGGGCAGUCAGGUCGCAUCCGAGAACUGGGUCGUGCAGUGUGAGCACAUGACUCGUGAGAUCUGCCCUGCGAGGAAGUCGUACAGUUUGAGCUGAAGCUGAGUGCUACGAGUGAAAAGGUUGCACAGUGUCCGCCCGGCUUUAGAAAGGAAAGAGUUCAUGUUGGUGUGAGGCUGCAUGUGCCAACGAGAAACUCCAUCACUGUUUUAGGAGUCUGAUUUGAAACGACUCUUUUCUUUUUCAACUCAAGUCUUUUUUGGCUCAUGUUUUUGAACUUGAUGGUCAGAUUAACGAGACAGUUUGGUUAUGGCCUUUUAUUGAUCUGAUAAUGCUUGACAAAGCUGAGGGAAAUUAAACCUUGUUAGAAGAUGCCAUCAUUUGGUUUAUUCCCAUGUCUCUGAAACCACCAUAUCACUUUCAUAAUUUAGUUUUUUGUCUUACAAAUUAAUCACAGGGAAGCAGUAAAAUAUUCACAAAAAACAAAUGGUGGGAAAAGAAGUUGCUAAAGUGGAAACCAGGUAAAACUGCUCUGAGAAAUGAGCCCUUUCCUAGUGGAAUCAUAAAAACUGAAUAUGUUGAAUUAAAGGUGUUUUUUCUUUUGAAGACAAUCCUAAAUGUUGAAAUAUAAAUAUAAAUCUAAUGGUGGUAAACUUUAUAUAUAUAGUGAACACGUAAACUCUGCUGUUCAGUAAAAGUAGUCAAACAACAAAAAAGCUUCUCUAACUUCACCGAGUCAUCCUUUUGAUGGUAUAAGUUCGUUGGUGCUCUGCAGAAAUCAGCUCCAGACAAAACUUUAUUUAUUUUAUAUCAUUUGUGUAGUGGUCACACUUUAUAGCGUGAAAACUGCAAAUUAAUUAUGACCAAUAAGAUGUGAUGAUUCCAUAUAAAUAUGAAAUAUUAGUCUGAUUGAUCUUUUAAUGUUUAAUCAGAAGGUUACAUUUACUUUUACUUGUUCAGGGACCAUAAACACACUUCGUAUUAUUCAGACAGAGUCAUGUAAAUAGUUAAGGAGUUUUAUUCUUUUCUAAACUAAUGAUUAUACAUGACAAGAUAUGAACAGUGAGAUGUGAUGGAGUGGAUACGCGGUGAUGGGGUGAGAUGUGUAGGUGGUGUGAUGUAAGCUAGAUGUUUAUCAGAAUCUUUGUAUCUGAAAGAAAAUGUGAAAUCUGGGUGUAAAAGAAGUUGUUGUCUGCUAUAAACUAGAGUUGAUUAUUAAUAAAACAGCAUCAGACGCAAUCUGUUGUGUCCACAAACCCUGGCGGAGACCCCCCAGCAGAUCCGGACUGUCAGAAGUCGGGUGGACCUCACGGCACCGGGAUUUCAUAGAUUAACUUCGAU